Long non-coding RNA from Acanthochromis polyacanthus (spiny chromis), 7435 nucleotides. RefSeq lists it as uncharacterized. Lineage: Eukaryota; Metazoa; Chordata; Actinopteri; Pomacentridae. The record is from RefSeq and is a predicted model, not a curated record. The transcript has 16 exons.
CGUAUGUGAACCGACAUACGUCACAUCCGGACAGACUGUUUCAUUCAGAGGAGCAACAUGGCGACUGAAAACUUAAGAGUAAAGUCCAGUAUCGACAUUCAAAGAACCCAGGAGCUGAAGAUGAACCUUCUCCUGCUCAGACCUCCAGACUGACCUGCUGGUUAAAUGGGACUAUGAGUUGAUCUAAGAAGAACAAGCAGCAUGAAGGCUGUCGAUUCACCUCACAGGUAGUAGACCAGAGAACCAUGAGGCUGUUUGAGGCCCUGCUGUGGAUCCACAUGGUAGGGUUAUAGGUAAACCUCUGACAAACUACAGGUUGUAGGCAAACCUCUGACAAACUACAGGUUCUACGUAAACCUCUGACAAAGUACAGGUUCUGGGUAAACCUCUGACAAACUGCAGGUUCUAGGCAAACCUCUGACAAACUACGGGUUCUAGGUAAACCUCUGACAAACUACGGGUUCUAGGUAAACCUCUGACAAACUACAGGUUCUAGGCAAACCUCUGACAAACUACGGGUUCUAGGUAAACCUCUGACAAACUACAGGUUGUAGGUAAACCUCUGACAAACUACAGGUUCUACGUAAACCUCUGACAAACUGCAGGUUCUAGGCAAACCUCUGACAAACUACGGGUUCUAGGUAAACCUCUGACAAACUACAGGUUGUAGGUAAACCUCUGACAAACUACAGGUUGUAGGUAAACCUCUGACAAACUGCAGGUUCUAGGUAAACCUCUGACAAACUACAGGUUGUAGGUAAACCUCUGACAAACUGCAGGUUCUAGGUAAACCUCUGACAAAGUACAGGUUGUAGGUAAACCUCUGACAAACUGCAGGUUGUAGGUAAACCUCUGACAAACUACGGGUUCUAGGUAAACCUCUGACAAACUACGGGUUCUAGGUAAACCUCUGACAAACUACAGGUUGUAGGUAAACCUCUGACAAACUACAGGUUGUAGGUAAACCUCUGACAAAGUACAGGCUCUCGGCAAACCUCUGACAAACUACAGGUUGUAGGUAAACCUCUGACAAACUACAGGUUAUAGGCAAACCUCUGACAAACUACAGGUUCUAGGUAAACCUCUGACAAACUACAGGUUGUAGGUAAACCUCUGACAAACUGCAGGUUCUAGGUAAACCUCUGACAAACUACAGGUUGUAGGUAAACCUCUGACAAACUGCAGGUUCUAGGUAAACCUCUGACAAACUACAGGUUGUAGGUAAACCUCUGACAAACUGCAGGUUCUAGGUAAACCUCUGACAAACUACAGGUUCUAGGUAAACCUCUGACAAACUACAGGUUGUAGGUAAACCUCUGACAAACUACAGGUUGUAGGUAAACCUCUGACAAACUACAGGUUGUAGGUAAACCUCUGACAAACUACAGGUUGUAGGUAAACCUCUGACAAACUGCAGGUUCUACGUAAACCUCUGACAAACUACAGGUUCUAGGCAAACCUCUGACAAACUGCAGGUUCUAGGUAAACCUCUGACAAAGUACAGGUUGUAGGUAAACCUCUGACAAACUACAGGUUGUAGGUAAACCUCUGACAAACUACAGGUUCUAGGUAAACCUCUGACAAACUGCAGGUUGUAGGCAAACCUCUGACAAACUACAGGUUCUACGUAAACCUCUGACAAAGUACAGGUUCUAGGCAAACCUCUGACAAACUGCAGGUUCUAGGCAAACCUCUGACAAACUACGGGUUCUAGGUAAACCUCUGACAAACUACAGGUUAUAGGUAAACCUCUGACAAACUACAGGUUCUAGGUAAACCUCUGACAAACUACAGGUUGUAGGUAAACCUCUGACAAACUGCAGGUUCUACGUAAACCUCUGACAAACUACAGGUUCUAGGUAAACCUCUGACAAACUACAGGUUCUAGGUAAACCUCUGACAAACUACGGGUUGUAGGUAAACCUCUGACAAACUACAGGUUGUAGGUAAACCUCUGACAAAGUACAGGUACAGAAUUUCAACAUAAAUAACUUUUCAUUUUUUAGACCAAAUGCUUCAUAUUAAAGUGUUCUACCUGUUGAGUUUUGCAUUAUUGUGACCUGCAGCUACAUGUGGUUCAGUGGUUGGAUGUUUAUGUAUUUUUUUGUUAAAUGGAACUUAAAGACGUGACAUUUUGUGACCACUUCAUUUCUUGUUGUAUUUCAGUUGACCCUUAAUCAGAUUAUGUGAUCGACAUGUCUGAUUUGACAGAUCGUGAAUCGGUGUAAAGAUGUCGAGUAUUUAAUGUUGAAUCCUUUGAUUUUUCAGAACCCAGGAGCUGAAGAUGAACCUUCUCCUGCUCAGACCUCCAGACUGACCUGCUGGUUAAAUGGGACUAUGAGUUGAUCUAAGAAGAACAAGCAGCAUGAAGGCUGUCAAUUCACCUCACAGGUAGUAGACCAGGUAAAUACGUAAACCUGCAUCAUCAUUAUUAUUUCUAUUGUUGUUGUUGUGUUUUUAGUGCAGACCUUUCCAGCGAGACUGAGCCUGCUGUGGCUCUGAUCUUUCCUGUUGUGUCUGCUAGAGAACCAUGAGGCUGUUUGAGGCCCUGCUGUGGAUCCACAUGGUAGGGUUAUAGGUAAACCUCUGACAAACUACAGGUUAUAGGUAAACCUCUGACAAACUACAGGUUCUAGGUAAACCUCUGACAAACUACAGGUUGUAGGUAAACCUCUGACAAACUACAGGUUGUAGGUAAACCUCUGACAAACUACAGGUUGUAGGUAAACCUCUGACAAACUGCAGGUUCUAGGUAAACCUCUGACAAACUGCAGGUUCUAGGUAAACCUCUGACAAACUACAGGUUGUAGGUAAACCUCUGACAAACUACAGGUUCUAGGUAAACCUCUGACAAACUACAGGUUCUCGGUAAACCUCUGACAAACUACAGGUUCUAGGUAAACCUCUGACAAACUACAGGUUGUAGGUAAACCUCUGACAAACUACAGGUUGUAGGUAAACCUCUGACAAACUACAGGUUGUAGGCAAACCUCUGACAAACUACAGGUUCUAGGUAAACCUCUGACAAACUGCAGGUUCUACGUAAACCUCUGACAAACUGCAGGUUCUACGUAAACCUCUGACAAACUACAGGUUAUAGGUAAACCUCUGACAAACUACAGGUUGUAGGUAAACCUCUGACAAACUACAGGUUCUAGGCAAACCUCUGACAAACUACAGGUUGUAGGCAAACCUCUGACAAACUGCAGGUUGUAGGCAAACCUCUGACAAACUACAGGUUAUAGGUAAACCUCUGACAAACUACAGGUUCUAGGCAAACCUCUGACAAACUACAGGUUCUAGGUAAACCUCUGACAAACUACAGGUUAUAGGCAAACCUCUGACAAACCACGGGUUCUAGGUAAACCUCUGACAAACUGCAGGUUCUACGUAAACCUCUGACAAACUGCAGGUUAUAGGUAAACCUCUGACAAACUACAGGUUCUGGGUAAACCUCUGACAAACUACAGGUUCUGGGUAAACCUCUGACAAACUACAGGUUCUAGGCAAACCUCUGACAAAGUACAGGUUCUCGGUAAACCUCUGACAAACUACAGGUUCUAGGUAAACCUCUGACAAACUACAGGUUCUAGGCAAACCUCUGACAAAGUACAGGUUGUAGGUAAACCUCUGACAAACUACAGGUUCUAGGCAAACCUCUGACAAAGUACAGGUUAUAGGUAAACCUCUGACAAACUACAGGUUCUAGGCAAACCUCUGACAAAGUACAGGUUCUAGGUAAACCUCUGACAAACUACAGGUUCAAGGCAAACCUCUGACAAAGUACAGGUUCUAGGUAAACCUCUGACAAACUACAGGUUCUAGGUAAACCUCUGACAAACUACAGGUUCUAGGUAAACCUCUGACAAAGUACAGGUUGUAGGCAAACCUCUGACAAACUACAGGUUCUAGGCAAACCUCUGACAAAGUACAGGUUCUAGGUAAACCUCUGACAAAGUACAGGUUCUAGGUAAACCUCUGACAAACUACAGGUUCUAGGUAAACCUCUGACAAACUACAGGUUCUCGGUAAACCUCUGACAAAGUACAGGUUGUAGGCAAACCUCUGACAAACUACAGGUUCUAGGCAAACCUCUGACAACUACAGGUUCUAGGCAAACCUCUGACAAAGUACAGGUUCUAGGUAAACCUCUGACAAACUACAGGUUCUAGGUAAACCUCUGACAAACUACAGGUUCUCGGUAAACCUCUGACAAACUGCAGGUUCUAGGUAAACCUCUGACAAACUACAGGUUGUAGGUAAACCUCUGACAAACUACAGGUUCUAGGUAAACCUCUGACAAAGUACAGGUUCUAGGCAAACCUCUGACAAACUGCAGGUUCUAGGUAAACCUCUGACAAACUGCAGGUUCUACGUAAACCUCUGACAAAGUACAGGUUCUAGGUAAACCUCUGACAAACUACAGGUUGUAGGUAAACCUCUGACAAACUACAGGUUCUAGGUAAACCUCUGACAAACUGCAGGUUCUACGUAAACCUCUGACAAAGUACAGGUUCUAGGUAAACCUCUGACAAACUACAGGUUGUAGGUAAACCUCUGACAAACUACAGGUUGUAGGUAAACCUCUGACAAACUACGGGUUCUACGCAAACCUCUGACAAAGUACAGGUUCUUGGCAAACCUCUGACAAAGUACAGGUUAUAGGUAAACCUCUGACAAACUACAGGUUGUAGGCAAACCUCUGACAAAGUACAGGUUCUAGGUAAACCUCUGACAAUCUACAGGUUGUAGGUAAACCUCUGACAAACUACAGGUUGUAGGUAAACCUCUGACAAACUACGGGUUCUACGCAAACCUCUGACAAAGUACAGGUUCUUGGCAAACCUCUGACAAAGUACAGGUUGUAGGUAAACCUCUGACAAACUACAGGUUGUAGGUAAACCUCUGACAAACUACAGGUUCUAGGCAAACCUCUGACAAACUGCAGGUUGUAGGCAAACCUCUGACAAACUACGGGUUCUAGGUAAACCUCUGACAAACUACAGGUUCUAGGUAAACCUCUGACAAACUACAGGUUCUAGGCAAACCUCUGACAAAGUACAGGUUAUAGGUAAACCUCUGACAAACUACAGGUUCUAGGCAAACCUCUGACAAAGUACAGGUUCUAGGUAAACCUCUGACAAACUACAGGUUCAAGGCAAACCUCUGACAAAGUACAGGUUCUAGGUAAACCUCUGACAAACUACAGGUUCUAGGUAAACCUCUGACAAACUACAGGUUCUAGGUAAACCUCUGACAAAGUACAGGUUGUAGGCAAACCUCUGACAAACUACAGGUUCUAGGUAAACCUCUGACAAACUACAGGUUCUCGGUAAACCUCUGACAAACUGCAGGUUCUACGUAAACCUCUGACAAAGUACAGGUUGUAGGUAAACCUCUGACAAACUACAGGUUCUAGGUAAACCUCUGACAAACUGCAGGUUCUACGUAAACCUCUGACAAAGUACAGGUUCUAGGUAAACCUCUGACAAACUACAGGUUGUAGGUAAACCUCUGACAAACUACAGGUUGUAGGUAAACCUCUGACAAACUACAGGUUGUAGGCAAACCUCUGACAAACUACAGGUUGUAGGUAAACCUCUGACAAACUACAGGUUCUAGGUAAACCUCUGACAAAGUACAGGUUCUAGGCAAACCUCUGACAAACUGCAGGUUCUAGGUAAACCUCUGACAAACUGCAGGUUCUACGUAAACCUCUGACAAAGUACAGGUUGUAGGUAAACCUCUGACAAACUACAGGUUCUAGGUAAACCUCUGACAAACUGCAGGUUCUACGUAAACCUCUGACAAAGUACAGGUUCUAGGUAAACCUCUGACAAACUACAGGUUGUAGGUAAACCUCUGACAAACUACAGGUUGUAGGUAAACCUCUGACAAACUACGGGUUCUACUCAAACCUCUGACAAACUACAGGUUCUUGGCAAACCUCUGACAAAGUACAGGUUCUAGGUAAACCUCUGACAAACUACAGGUUGUAGGUAAACCUCUGACAAACUACAGGUUCUAGGUAAACCUCUGACAAACUGCAGGUUCUACGUAAACCUCUGACAAAGUACAGGUUGUAGGUAAACCUCUGACAAACUACAGGUUGUAGGUAAACCUCUGACAAACUACAGGUUGUAGGUAAACCUCUGACAAACUACGGGUUCUACGCAAACCUCUGACAAACUACAGGUUCUUGGCAAACCUCUGACAAAGUACAGGUUCUAGGUAAACCUCUGACAAACUACAGGUUGUAGGCAAACCUCUGACAAAGUACAGGUUAUAGGUAAACCUCUGACAAACUACAGGUUGUAGGUAAACCUCUGACAAACUACAGGUUCUAGGCAAACCUCUGACAAACUGCAGGUUGUAGGCAAACCUCUGACAAACUACAGGUUCUAGGUAAACCUCUGACAAACUACGGGUUCUACGCAAACCUCUGACAAACUACGGGUUCUACGCAAACCUCUGACAAACUGCGGGUUCUACGCAAACCUCUGACAAACUGCGGGUUCUAGGCAAACCUCUGACAAACUACGGGUUCUCGGCAAACCUCUGACAAACUACGGGUUCUAGGCAAACCUCUGACAAACUACGGGUUCUACGCAAACCUCUGACAAACUGCGGGUUCUACGCAAACCUCUGACAAACUAAGAAAAAAUGGGCAACAAAAUGACACAAACGACACAAAACAGACAAAAAGGAAACAAAAAUGAUGCACAAAAUAAUGAACAAAGCAAAAGACAAAAUGACAAAAACAGGAGACGACAAAAGUCAGAAGAAAACCAAUAGAAAGUAGACGGAAUAUUAGAAAGAAGAGACAACAAAUUAGACAAAGUGACACAAACAUGAGACAACAUGAGAGACAAAAAUAAGACAAACGACCUCAAGUGAGACAAAGAGGAAACACAAUGAGAAAAACAUGAGACAACAGUCUGACAAAAAAACGACGGAUGUACAAUGAAUCUAGAAUUUGUAGAGUUUUCACUUUGAGCAACGUGUGAAUAAAAACAUGGAACUUUUUCCACCUUAUUGUGGUUUUAGAGAAAGUUCUGGAUCUUUGUUUCUCCAUCAGAACAGGAACUAAACAUCUGUGCUCUUCAUUUCUUGCAGGUCUUCAGCAGUAGUUCUGGAUCCGUUUGAAUCAAAGCUUCAGUUUGACGUAGAUGAUCAAAGACUCUGACGUUUCUUCAUCUACCUGAAGAAGAGAAAGAACAGUUUUAACUAAAACUUCAUUCUUUGUUCUCUGUAGGUUUCAUGACCAGAGAAGGAAACCAGAACAUUCAACGGGACGUCUGGGUUUAUUUCUGCUCCGCUUCAGGAAUUAAAGAGGAUUUUCAGUCAUUUAUGUUUAGUGUCUUCUAACAUAAAGAAAUGAACGAGAUUAUUGUGUAAAACUGAGGUAAUAAACUGUUUACAGGUGGUAGAAAAA